AGUGAACGCUGGCGGUAGGCCUAACACAUGCAAGUCGAACGGCAGCACAGUAAGAGCUUGCUCUUACGGGUGGCGAGUGGCGGACGGGUGAGGAAUACAUCGGAAUCUACUUUUUCGUGGGGGAUAACGUAGGGAAACUUACGCUAAUACCGCAUACGACCUACGGGUGAAGGCAGGGGAUCUUCGGACCUUGCGCGAUUGAAUGAGCCGAUGUCGGAUUAGCUAGUUGGCGGGGUAAAGGCCCACCAAGGCGACGAUCCGUAGCUGGUCUGAGAGGAUGAUCAGCCACACUGGAACUGAGACACGGUCCAGAGUCCUACGGGAGGCAGCAGUGGGGAAUAUUGGACAAUGGGCGCAAGCCUGAUCCAGCCAGACCGCGUGGGUGAAGAAGGCCUUCGGGUUGUAAAGCCCUUUUGUUGGGAAAGAAAAGCAGCAGGUUAAUACCCCGCUGUUCUGACGGUACCCAAAGAAUAAGCACCGGCUAACUUCGUG
This 492-nucleotide ribosomal RNA is filed under the name uncultured bacterium. RNAcentral's name for it is "partial 16S ribosomal RNA". It matches the Rfam family "Bacterial small subunit ribosomal RNA", at positions 29 to 507 of the family's 1533-position model. The record is from RNAcentral.